AGACACUUACAACAAUUUGGAGGAACUGAAUAGACCGUCAAGUGGGGAGGAGAAUAAAUUGCAGGGUACAAAUUAGCCGAUCAACAAUAGUGCGCAGAGAUUUCUUAAGAAUGUCUGAUUUCUGAUCAAAAGAGGUGUUGAACAAAUGUGUGUUCAAACAACCACUUGAACCACUAGAACUGCAGACAGGACCCCGGUUUGAUGUCUAAUCUAUGUCUACUUCUGCAAGCUGACGGGAUUCUGUCAUAUGUAUGCCUGAAACAGACGGUCAAAGACCCUGGAAGGCAAAACUUCGACCCGAGAUUCUGUGACUCGAGCCACUCGACUGUCCAAGAUUCCAGCUAUUCCAGGAACAUCGUAAGAAGAAAAGGACAGACUUUGAUGAUACAAGUGCACAGUUGCAAAAACACUGCAAGAGAUUCAUCACCCUCUAUUGUCAACAUUUCCAAGCAAGAAGAACAGA
Callorhinchus milii (elephant shark) is the source of this 463-nucleotide long non-coding RNA. RefSeq lists it as uncharacterized. Lineage: Eukaryota; Metazoa; Chordata; Chondrichthyes; Chimaeriformes; Callorhinchidae. The record is from RefSeq and is a predicted model, not a curated record. The transcript has 4 exons.